UCGAGAAUUUUUCUCAAUGGGGGCAACCCUGAAGGAGCGACGCCGCGUGAAGGAUGAAGGUCUUCGGAUUGUAAACUUCUGUCAUUGGUGAACAAAGCCCGCGGUUAACUGCCGUUGGGUCUGAUAGUAGCCGAAGAGGAAGGGACGGCUAACUCUGUGCCAGCAGCCGCGGUAAUACAGAGGUCCCGAGCGUUGUUCGGAUUCAUUGGGCGUAAAGGGUGCGUAGGCGGCGGGGUAAGUUUGAUGUGAAAUCCUGGGGCUCAACCCUGGAACUGCAUUGAAUACUGCCUUGCUAGAGAACUGGAGAGGAGACUGGAAUUUACGGUGUAGCAGUGAAAUGCGUAGAGAUCGUAAGGAAGACCAGUGGCGAAGGCGAGUCUCUGGACAGUUACUGACGCUGAGGCACGAAGGCCAGGGGAGCAAACGG
Molecule: ribosomal RNA, 427 nt
Filed under: uncultured bacterium
Lineage: Bacteria
Description: bacterial SSU rRNA
Rfam family: Bacterial small subunit ribosomal RNA
Source: RNAcentral